UUCUCUCCAUUUCACAUUUUCUUCACCCUCCAUGAGAAGAAAACCUUGAAUCCUCCAAAAAUCUCUCAUAAGAAGUCCAAGUUUCAUGCUUUUGCUCACUCCUUCAAAGGGUUUUUCAUGCUCUUUCACUUUUACGCCUCAACAGCCUUCAAAAGUCUUUCUUUAGUACAUUCACUCACUAGCUGGAAGUGUAGAGAGAGAGAGAGAGAGUGAUUUCCCUUAUUAGCUUGAAGAAUUUUGAAAGAGAAUUCAACUACAAAGAUCAUCAAGGUGAGUAUGAGUUAGGGUUAAUCUCUUUAGUUGUUGAUAAUGUUUAGUAAUUAGAUUUGUGAGUUUUUUAUUAUUGAGGUUGUUUAUUCAUUCUUAGUGUGACUAGAGAAGUGCAAAUAAUAGCCAAUUAGUAGUAGUUGGAAGUUAGUUAGGGAUGACUAGUAGAACUUGAUUUAGGAAAUAACUUUCGGAAUGCUAUUAAUGCCUAGUUGGGUUGAUGGCGAUGUUGUGUGUGAUAGGUUCCAACGAAACCCCACACCUCCAUUCAGAACAUUAAUCGAAGUUAGAGUCCACCAAAACAUCAACAAAGACUG
This 584-nucleotide long non-coding RNA is filed under the name Theobroma cacao (cacao). RNAcentral describes it as "long non-coding RNA (TCAC_LNC001631)". The record is from RNAcentral. Lineage: Eukaryota; Viridiplantae; Streptophyta; Magnoliopsida; Malvales; Malvaceae.